UACGUAGGGGGCUAGCGUUGUCCGGAAUCAUUGGGCGUAAAGCGCGUGUAGGCGGUCCGGUAAGUCCGCUGUGAAAGUCGGGGGCUCAACCCUCGGAUGCCGGUGGAUACUGUCGGGCUUGAGUACGGAAGAGGCGAGUGGAAUUCCUGGUGUAGCGGUGAAAUGCGCAGAUAUCGGGAGGAACACCAAUGGCGAAGGCAGCUCGCUGGGACGGUACUGACGCUGAGGCGCGAAAGCGUGGGGAGCAAACAGG
RNAcentral lists this ribosomal RNA (253 nucleotides) under uncultured bacterium. Its description in RNAcentral is "partial 16S ribosomal RNA". It matches the Rfam family "Bacterial small subunit ribosomal RNA", at positions 524 to 776 of the family's 1533-position model. The record is from RNAcentral.